This 429-nucleotide ribosomal RNA is filed under the name Bacteroidota bacterium. Its description in RNAcentral is "Bacteroidetes bacterium partial 16S ribosomal RNA". It matches the Rfam family "Bacterial small subunit ribosomal RNA", at positions 355 to 776 of the family's 1533-position model. The record is from RNAcentral. Lineage: Bacteria; Pseudomonadati; Bacteroidota.
UAGGGAAUCUUCGGCAAUGGGUGGAACCCUGACCGAGCAACGCCGUGUGAGUGAAGAAGGUUUUCGGAUCGUAAAGCUCUGUUGUUAAGGAAGAACGAGUGUGAGAAUGGAAAGUUCAUACUGUGACGGUACUUAACCAGCAAGGGACGGCUAACUACGUGCCAGCAGCCGCGGUAAUACGUAGGUCCCGAGCGUUGUCCGGAUUUAUUGGGCGUAAAGCGAGCGCAGGCGGUUAGAUAAGUCUGAAGUUAAAGGUAGGGGCUCAACCGUUGUGGGCUUUGGAAACUGUUUAACUUGAGUGCAGAAAGGGAAGGUGGAAUUCCAUGUGUAGCGGUAAAAUGCGUAGAUAUAUGGAGGAACACCGGUGGCGAAAGCGGCUCUCUGGUCUGUAACUGACGCUGAGGCUCGAAAGCGUGGGGAGCGAACAGG